CCUGAGAAACCUAAAAGUUCGAAAAGAGAGAUUCAACGUCAGCAUGUACAGUAUUGACGUGAGUAGUGAUGUCAGUUUUAUUGAUUGGGUUAAACCAAGCAAUUAUGACUGACACAUUUUCAUGUUAUUUUUAUUGCUGUACAACUGUCGGCGUGCACUUCUCUCUUAGUAGGACGUCCCGACCCGUUGAGUCUUAGCCUACGGCCCAUAUGGAUGCCUUUAAUAUUUUUAUAUUAAAAUCCUUUGGUGUCUCCUGGCCUAAGUACUCGACGGUAAAAACGACUUGGUAUUAAGCCGCAAUUUAUUGUGCGUCCGGCCUGCCGCAAGUUUAUUGACAAUUUCUGUACACAUAGACUAUGUCCUAAGUGUAUGGUAUUGUUGGCUGUUUGCAUGACAGUGCUCUUGGACUGGCUUAGUAUAUACCUGUCAGGGACGCUUAGGCUUUGGGUACUCUCAGGACCCGUCUUGAAACACGGACCAAGGAGUCUAACAUGUACGCGAGUCAUUGGGUAUAUAUUUUCUUUCGGGAAUUUAUAUAAAACAAACCUAAAGGCGAAAUGAAAGUAAAAGCUGGAUCUUGUAUUCAACUUAGGGAUGAUGGGUUAUUAAUUUAUCCCCGCAAUCCCAGGGCGUCUUAAUCUCAUUGCGAGAUGU
Molecule: ribosomal RNA, 654 nt
Filed under: Zelomorpha sp. 25 NL-2005
Lineage: Eukaryota; Metazoa; Arthropoda; Insecta; Hymenoptera; Braconidae
Description: eukaryotic LSU rRNA
Rfam family: Eukaryotic large subunit ribosomal RNA
Source: RNAcentral